GACGAACGCUGGCGGCGUGCUUAACACAUGCAAGUCGAGCGGUAAGGCCCUUUCGGGGGUACACGAGCGGCGAACGGGUGAGUAACACGUGGGUGACCUGCCCUCAGCUCUGGGAUAAGCCUAGGGAAACCGGGUCUAAUACCGGAUAUGACUCCAUGACGCAUGUUGUGGGGUGGAAAGCCUUGUGCGGCUGAGGAUGGGCCCGCGGCCUAUCAGCUUGUUGGUGGGGUGANGGCCUACCAAGGCGACGACGGGUAGCCGGCCUGAGAGGGCGACCGGCCACACUGGGACUGAGACACGGCCCAGACUCCUACGGGAGGCAGCAGUGGGGAAUCUUGCGCAAUGGG
This 347-nucleotide ribosomal RNA is filed under the name uncultured bacterium. RNAcentral describes it as "bacterial SSU rRNA". It matches the Rfam family "Bacterial small subunit ribosomal RNA", at positions 28 to 375 of the family's 1533-position model. The record is from RNAcentral.